GCUCCGGUGGCAUUAUGGUUAGUGCGUCCGCCUCGGAUGCGGGAUGUCGUGGGUUCAAUACCCGGCCGAGUCA
This is a non-coding RNA of Potamilus streckersoni, 73 nucleotides long. Lineage: Eukaryota; Metazoa; Mollusca; Bivalvia; Unionida; Unionidae. The record is from the annotation of a GenBank genome assembly.